Molecule: long non-coding RNA, 441 nt
Filed under: Pogona vitticeps (central bearded dragon)
Lineage: Eukaryota; Metazoa; Chordata; Lepidosauria; Squamata; Agamidae
Description: lncRNA (ENSPVIG00000009660.1)
Source: RNAcentral
UUUUUUUUAAUCAGAGGCCGAUCAGCCCCUGCAGUUGGCAUGGAUACAGCUUAGGUCAAGCAGAAACACAACUCUUAGAGUGAGGUCAUAAUGGGCUCUAUGCUUUGGCAAAGUGAGAGGCAGUUAACAGCCUCUGCCUUGAUAUUGUCAGGAUGCUGCUUCAUGAAGAUAAAGGGAUCUUUGAAGGCUUCAUUAACAUUUACCACAAGAGGAAAGGUUUUUGAAAGGUUUCUAAAGGACAUUUUCAUGCUGUUUUUUCUGUACUUCUUGAAAAGAAGUGGCAACCAUUCCAAUAUAUUCCAAUGUAUUGGUGUGCUUCAAAGAUCUAAUGUGGCUUUGUCAUUAACCAAAGUGAGAGCAUCUACUGAUGUCUCAAAGAAGAAUGAUAAAUAUUUUCUAUUGUAUUUCAACUCCAUGAGAAAUCUAUCUCCCCAUUGCUGA